RNAcentral lists this ribosomal RNA (515 nucleotides) under Parnassius acdestis lampidius. RNAcentral describes it as "partial 16S rRNA". The stretch from base 388 to 515 matches the Rfam family "Bacterial large subunit ribosomal RNA", at positions 2473 to 2600 of the family's 2925-position model. Lineage: Eukaryota; Metazoa; Arthropoda; Insecta; Lepidoptera; Papilionidae. The record is from RNAcentral.
GUCUUUUUGAUUAAUAAUUUAAAGUCUAAUCUGCCCACUGAUAAUAUAUUAAAGGGCUGCAGUAUUUUGACUGUACAAAGGUAGCAUAAUCAUUAGUCUCUUAAUUGGUGACUUGUAUGAAAGAUUUAAUGAGAUAUAUACUGUCUCUUUUUGAUUUAUAAAAUUUAAUUUUUUAGUUAAAAAGCUAAAAUAUAUUUAAAAGACGAGAAGACCCUAUAGAGUUUUAUAUUUAUUAAAUUUAAAAUUUUUUAUAAGAUUUAAAAUUUUAAUUUUAAUAAAUAUUUUGUUGGGGUGAUAAAAAAAUUAAAAAAACUUUUUUUAUAAAUUUACAUUAAUAAGUGAAUAAAUGAUCCGUAAUUUACGAUUAAAAGAAAAAAUUACCUUAGGGAUAACAGCGUAAUUUUUUUUUUUAGUUCAAAUAAGAAAAAAAGUUUGCGACCUCGAUGUUGGAUUAAGAUAAAAUUUAAAUGUAAAAGUUUAAAAUUUUUGAUCUGUUCGAUCAUUAAAAUCUUACA